GCUAAACAUAUGCUUUUAAAAGCAAUACACAAUAGUAUAAACUGAUUGCACCAACUCAUGCAUUCAAAUAAUGCUUGAAUUACAUAACCGGUGAAUUGGCAAUGUUAAUGGACUUCCUGUAUUUGAAUUAACCUUGAAUUCAGUAUUAUUUUAAGAACUAGAAAACCUCAAGAGUUUAGAGAUGAGACACGUUUACCAUAACCCGAUCAUACCCGUAGCCCCCCUGGCUGGUUCGGACGAACCCCCCUUUAAAACAAAUAAGCACUGUUAAAGUCAAUGUCAGAAUUGUGACUGGCUACGGGCCUGGAUGCAUAGUUUAAUGAAAGUCCAAGUUGAUUUGAAAAAGUUAUAAAAAAAAUUAAAGUGUACUAUCUCUAUUUUGUCCGAAUUGUAAAUCCUAGCC
RNAcentral lists this long non-coding RNA (403 nucleotides) under Mytilus galloprovincialis (Mediterranean mussel). Lineage: Eukaryota; Metazoa; Mollusca; Bivalvia; Mytilida; Mytilidae. The record is from RNAcentral.